RNAcentral lists this transfer RNA (71 nucleotides) under Ictidomys tridecemlineatus (thirteen-lined ground squirrel). RNAcentral's name for it is "Spermophilus tridecemlineatus (thirteen-lined ground squirrel) tRNA". It matches the Rfam family "tRNA". From Rfam's summary of the family: Transfer RNA (tRNA) molecules are approximately 80 nucleotides in length. Their secondary structure includes four short double-helical elements and three loops (D, anti-codon, and T loops). The record is from Rfam by way of RNAcentral. Lineage: Eukaryota; Metazoa; Chordata; Mammalia; Rodentia; Sciuridae.
GGGGGUGGAGCUCCGUGGUAAAGCACUUGCCUGGCAUGUGUGAGGCCCUGGGUUCCAUCCCAGCACCACCA